UGGGGAAUAUUGCACAAUGGGCGCAAGCCUGAUGCAGCGACGCCGCGUGAGCGAAGAAGUAUUUCGGUAUGUAAAGCUCUAUCAGCAGGGAAGAAAAUGACGGUACCUGACUAAGAAGCUACGGCUAAAUACGUGCCAGCAGCCGCGGUAAUACGUAUGGAGCAAGCGUUAUCCGGAAUUACUGGGUGUAAAGGGAGCGUAGACGGAUUUGCAAGUCUGAUGUGAAAGGCGGGGGCUCAACUCCUGGACUGCAUUGGAAACUGUAGAUCUUGAGUGCCGGAGAGGUAAGCGGAAUUCCUAGUGUAGCGGUGAAAUGCGUAGAUAUUAGGAGGAACACCAGUGGCGAAGGCGGCUUACUGGACGGUAACUGACGUUGAGGCUCGAAAGCGUGGGGAGCAAACAGG
This 404-nucleotide ribosomal RNA is filed under the name uncultured bacterium. RNAcentral's name for it is "bacterial SSU rRNA". It matches the Rfam family "Bacterial small subunit ribosomal RNA", at positions 355 to 776 of the family's 1533-position model. The record is from RNAcentral.